This 253-nucleotide ribosomal RNA is filed under the name uncultured bacterium. RNAcentral describes it as "partial 16S ribosomal RNA". It matches the Rfam family "Bacterial small subunit ribosomal RNA", at positions 524 to 776 of the family's 1533-position model. The record is from RNAcentral.
UACGUAGGGGGCAAGCGUUGUCCGGAAUUAUUGGGCGUAAAGAGCGUGUAGGCGGCCAGGUAGGUCUGCUGUGAAAACUCGAGGCUCAACCUCGAGCUGUCGGUGGAAACCAUCUGGCUAGAGUCCGGAAGAGGAGAGUGGAAUUCCUGGUGUAGCGGUGAAAUGCGCAGAUAUCAGGAAGAACACCCGUGGCGAAGGCGGCUCUCUGGUACGUGACUGACGCUGAGGCACGAAGGCCCGGGGAGCAAACGGG